AAUUUCUUCUAGUUUGUCUACAGUGUUUAUUUUGUCAGCUAUUUCUUUCAUUGAUAAGUAAUUUGAGUAUUUACAUACACUAGUUAUAUACGUUUGAUUUCAUAUGUGAAAUUCAUCCAUACUUAUAGAUUCUCCUGGUAAAUUUGUUGCUGGUGUUCUCCCUAUCAGUUGUUUUGUGGGUCUAUGUUCAUACUUUGAUUCAUAGCAAAUUGUACAGUUUCUCGCAAAGUGUCUAAUUUGUUUUGACAUAUCCGGCCAAAAGUAUUGAUGUUUUAUUUCUAUUAAAUUGUUUUUCUCAUUUCUAUGUGCUCUAUUAUAUAUGUUUGUUAUAAUUUCUAUUUGUUUAUUUGUGUCUGUUAUGUCUGCUGUUAAAUUUUGUGCUAUAAAAAGUUUGUAACUUAAAAAAUUUUUAGUCAGUAGUGUUUUUAUUUUAAACAGUUGUUGUUCAUCUACUUUAAUUGCAUUAUUGUAACUUGGAACUAGAAUCUCCUUUAAAGUUUUUGUCAGGUAUUCAACUUGAUUUUUCGUCUGAGAUUUUCUUAUUAGCUUUAUGCUUUAUGGCGUUGACUACAGUUUGGAUAUGUUUGGAUAUGUUUAAUGUGUACUUCGGGUGUGAAGAAUAAAUUAACACGUCGUCGAUGUAUACAAACGCAAAUUUAUUUAUAUAAUCUCUCAGAAUAUCGUCAACACAUCUUUGGAAGAUAGAGGGUGCAUUUUUUAAUCCAAAAUGCCUGUAUUGUCACCAUUUACGUCUGGGAUAGGAUAUCUGUCUGAUGUCGAAUCAUUACAUCCGUGCAUGGAUCGGCAAACAUACGAAAGAAAAUUACGUGAUACGUCAAUCGUAUGCGGUGAUUGGCAUUGUGACAUACGAU
Bactrocera tryoni is the source of this 872-nucleotide long non-coding RNA. RefSeq lists it as uncharacterized. The transcript is spliced from 3 exons. The record is from RefSeq and is a predicted model, not a curated record. NCBI's taxonomy places the organism in Eukaryota, Metazoa, Arthropoda, Insecta, Diptera, Tephritidae.